UUUUAACACGAAGUGAGUGGCGGACGGGUGAGUAACACGUGGGUAACCUGCCCAGAAGCAGGGGAUAACACCUGGAAACAGAUGCUAAUACCGUAUAACAGAGAAAACCGCCUGGUUUUCUUUUAAAAGAUGGCUCUGCUAUCACUUCUGGAUGGACCCGCGGCGCAUUAGCUAGUUGGUGAGGUAACGGCUCACCAAGGCGAUGAUGCGUAGCCGACCUGAGAGGGUAAUCGGCCACAUUGGGACUGAGACACGGCCCAGACUCCUACGGGAGGCAGCAGUAGGGAAUCUUCCACAAUGGACGCAAGUCUGAUGGAGCAACGCCGCGUGAGUGAAGAAGGGUUUCGGCUCGUAAAGCUCUGUUGUUAAAGAAGAACGUGGGUGAGAGUAACUGUUCACCCAGUGACGGUAUUUAACCAGAAAGCCACGGCUAACUACGUGCCAGCAGCCGCGGUAAUACGUAGGUGGCAAGCGUUAUCCGGAUUUAUUGGGCGUAAAGCGAGCGCAGGCGGUCUUUUAAGUCUAAUGUGAAAGCCUUCGGCUCAACCGAAGAAGUGCAUUGGAAACUGGGAGACUUGAGUGCAGAAGAGGACAGUGGAACUCCAUGUGUAGCGGUGAAAUGCGUAGAUAUAUGGAAGAACACCAGUGGCGAAGGCGGCUGUCUGGUCUGUAACUGACGCUGAGGCUCGAAAGCAUGGGUAGCGAACAGGAUUAGAUACCAUGCCCGGGUUUAUCGAUGCGGCCUUAACGUAAAUGGCCCCUGGUAGUCCAUGCCGUAAACGAUGAUUACUAAGUUUUAAAGGGCCCUGUGUGCCGGUACCGGUAAAAGUUGGAGGGUUUCCGCCCUUCAGUGCUGCAGCUAACGCAUUAAGUAAUCCGCCUGGGGAGUACGACCGCAAGGUUGAAACUCAAAAGAAUUGACGGGGGCCCGCACAAGCGGUGGAGCAUGUGGUUUAAUUCGAAGCUACGCGAAGAACCUUACCAGGUCUUGACAUCUUCUGCCAACCUAAGAGAUUAGGCGUUCCCUUCGGGGACAGAAUGACAGGUGGUGCAUGGUUGUCGUCAGCUCGUGUCGUGAGAUGUUGGGUUAAGUCCCGCAACGAGCGCAACCCUUAUUACUAGUUGCCAGCAUUCAGUUGGGCACUCUAGUGAGACUGCCGGUGACAAACCGGAGGAAGGUGGGGACGACGUCAAAUCAUCAUGCCCCUUAUGACCUGGGCUACACACGUGCUACAAUGGAUGGUACAACGAGUCGCGAAACCGCGAGGUUUAGCUAAUCUCUUAAAACCAUUCUCAGUUCGGACUGUAGGCUGCAACUCGCCUACACGAAGUUGGAAUCGCUAGUAAUCGCGGAUCAGCAUGCCGCGGUGAAUACGUUCCCGGGCCUUGUACACACCGCCCGUCACACCAUGAGAGUUUGUAACACCCAAAGCCGGUGGGGUAACCUUUUAGGAGCUAGCCGUCUAAGGUGGG
RNAcentral lists this ribosomal RNA (1473 nucleotides) under Pediococcus acidilactici. Its description in RNAcentral is "bacterial SSU rRNA". It matches the Rfam family "Bacterial small subunit ribosomal RNA". The record is from RNAcentral. Lineage: Bacteria; Bacillati; Bacillota; Bacilli; Lactobacillales; Lactobacillaceae.